This 1479-nucleotide ribosomal RNA is filed under the name Lacticaseibacillus rhamnosus. Its description in RNAcentral is "bacterial SSU rRNA". It matches the Rfam family "Bacterial small subunit ribosomal RNA". The record is from RNAcentral. Lineage: Bacteria; Bacillati; Bacillota; Bacilli; Lactobacillales; Lactobacillaceae.
GGCCCGGGGGGGCGUGCUAUACAUGCAAGUCGAACGAGUUCUGAUUAUUGAAAGGUGCUUGCAUCUUGAUUUAAUUUUGAACGAGUGGCGGACGGGUGAGUAACACGUGGGUAACCUGCCCUUAAGUGGGGGAUAACAUUUGGAAACAGAUGCUAAUACCGCAUAAAUCCAAGAACCGCAUGGUUCUUGGCUGAAAGAUGGCGUAAGCUAUCGCUUUUGGAUGGACCCGCGGCGUAUUAGCUAGUUGGUGAGGUAACGGCUCACCAAGGCAAUGAUACGUAGCCGAACUGAGAGGUUGAUCGGCCACAUUGGGACUGAGACACGGCCCAAACUCCUACGGGAGGCAGCAGUAGGGAAUCUUCCACAAUGGACGCAAGUCUGAUGGAGCAACGCCGCGUGAGUGAAGAAGGCUUUCGGGUCGUAAAACUCUGUUGUUGGAGAAGAAUGGUCGGCAGAGUAACUGUUGUCGGCGUGACGGUAUCCAACCAGAAAGCCACGGCUAACUACGUGCCAGCAGCCGCGGUAAUACGUAGGUGGCAAGCGUUAUCCGGAUUUAUUGGGCGUAAAGCGAGCGCAGGCGGUUUUUUAAGUCUGAUGUGAAAGCCCUCGGCUUAACCGAGGAAGUGCAUCGGAAACUGGGAAACUUGAGUGCAGAAGAGGACAGUGGAACUCCAUGUGUAGCGGUGAAAUGCGUAGAUAUAUGGAAGAACACCAGUGGCGAAGGCGGCUGUCUGGUCUGUAACUGACGCUGAGGCUCGAAAGCAUGGGUAGCGAACAGGAUUAGAUACCCUGGUAGUCCAUGCCGUAAACGAUGAAUGCUAGGUGUUGGAGGGUUUCCGCCCUUCAGUGCCGCAGCUAACGCAUUAAGCAUUCCGCCUGGGGAGUACGACCGCAAGGUUGAAACUCAAAGGAAUUGACGGGGGCCCGCACAAGCGGUGGAGCAUGUGGUUUAAUUCGAAGCAACGCGAAGAACCUUACCAGGUCUUGACAUCUUUUGAUCACCUGAGAGAUCAGGUUUCCCCUUCGGGGGCAAAAUGACAGGUGGUGCAUGGUUGUCGUCAGCUCGUGUCGUGAGAUGUUGGGUUAAGUCCCGCAACGAGCGCAACCCUUAUGACUAGUUGCCAGCAUUUAGUUGGGCACUCUAGUAAGACUGCCGGUGACAAACCGGAGGAAGGUGGGGAUGACGUCAAAUCAUCAUGCCCCUUAUGACCUGGGCUACACACGUGCUACAAUGGAUGGUACAACGAGUUGCGAGACCGCGAGGUCAAGCUAAUCUCUUAAAGCCAUUCUCAGUUCGGACUGUAGGCUGCAACUCGCCUACACGAAGUCGGAAUCGCUAGUAAUCGCGGAUCAGCACGCCGCGGUGAAUACGUUCCCGGGCCUUGUACACACCGCCCGUCACACCAUGAGAGUUUGUAACACCCGAAGCCGGUGGCGUAACCCUUUUAGGGAGCGAGCCGUCUAAAGUUGAACAAAAAU